This 225-nucleotide ribosomal RNA is filed under the name uncultured Sphingobacteriales bacterium. Its description in RNAcentral is "partial 16S ribosomal RNA". It matches the Rfam family "Bacterial small subunit ribosomal RNA", at positions 114 to 334 of the family's 1533-position model. Lineage: Bacteria; Pseudomonadati; Bacteroidota; Sphingobacteriia; Sphingobacteriales. The record is from RNAcentral.
CGCGUAGGUAACCUGCCUUGUAGCGGGGGAUAACUAUUGGAAACGAUAGCUAAUACCGCAUAACAAUGGAUGACACAUGUCAUUUAUUUGAAAGGGGCAACUGCUCCACUACAAGAUGGACCUGCGUUGUAUUAGCUAGUAGGUGAGGUAAUGGCUCACCUAGGCGACGAUACAUAGCCGACCUGAGAGGGUGAUCGGCCACACUGGGACUGAGACACGGCCCAG